This 426-nucleotide long non-coding RNA is filed under the name Struthio camelus australis. RNAcentral's name for it is "lncRNA (ENSSCUG00000009318.1)". Lineage: Eukaryota; Metazoa; Chordata; Aves; Struthioniformes; Struthionidae. The record is from RNAcentral.
UAUAGAUGGUUAAUAGAAGAUAUGUUUCCUGUGUCACAAUAAAUAACACUUUUUCUCCUCCAUAUUUAGGCUUCAGCUUAUAAUGUUUCUUGAUUGAAUCAUUUGCUGGACUUCAUGUGACUUCAUAGAUAAAACUAGUCUUGCUGAGAGGAGCUCUGCCGGAACACCAUGCCUUUGGAGUGAAGGGCCUGCUCAGCGAUCUCCCUUCUAACCUUGCAGAGAGGCUACGGGGAAUCAGGGGCUGCUGGCAAAUUGUCGGAGCACUUUUCUGUAUCCUAGGGAUACUGAGGACGUUUUCUGUUGUUGCUUUUGUUUUGUUUUUUUCCAGGCCAAAUUGCAGAAUAUGUUUUACUCCUUUAUUUAUUUUGAGUUGGCAGUAUGAUCACAGUUUACUUAACUUCGCCAUCUAGUGCCCAAGUUCACAAC